This 492-nucleotide ribosomal RNA is filed under the name uncultured bacterium. RNAcentral's name for it is "partial 16S ribosomal RNA". It matches the Rfam family "Bacterial small subunit ribosomal RNA", at positions 29 to 507 of the family's 1533-position model. The record is from RNAcentral.
AGUGAACGCUGGCGGUAGGCCUAACACAUGCAAGUCGAACGGCAGCACAGUAAGAGCUUGCUCUUACGGGUGGCGAGUGGCGGACGGGUGAGGAAUACAUCGGAAUCUACUUUUUCGUGGGGGAUAACGUAGGGAAACUUACGCUAAUACCGCAUACGACCUACGGGUGAAAGCAGGGGAUCUUCGGACCUUGCGCGAUUGAAUGAGCCGAUGUCGUAUUAGCUAGUUGGCGGGGUAAAGGCCCACCAGGGCGACGAUCCGUAGCUGGUCUGAGAGGAUGAUCAGCCACACUGGAACUGAGACACGGUCCAGACUCCUACGGGAGGCAGCAGUGGGGAAUAUUGGACAAUGGGCGCAAGCCUGAUCCAGCCAUACCGCGUGGGUGAAGAAGGCCUUCGGGUUGUAAAGCCCUUUUGUUGGGAAAGAAAAGCAGCAGGUUAAUACCCCGCUGUUCUGACGGUACCCAAAGAAUAAGCACCGGCUAACUUCGUG